Molecule: ribosomal RNA, 392 nt
Filed under: uncultured bacterium
Lineage: Bacteria
Description: partial 16S ribosomal RNA
Rfam family: Bacterial small subunit ribosomal RNA
Source: RNAcentral
AUACGGAAGGUGCGAGCGUUAUCCGGAUUCAUUGGGUUUAAAGGGAGCGUAGGCGGAGCGCCAAGUCAGCUGUGAAAUCCCGCGGCUCAACCGUGGAACUGCAGUUGAAACUGGCGCCCUUGAGUGCACAUGAGGAUGGCGGAAUUCGUGGUGUAGCGGUGAAAUGCUUAGAUAUGCCACAGAACGCCGAUAGCGGAGGCGGCUCGCCAGGCCUGCAUUGACGCUUGGGCACGAAAGCGUGGGGAUCGAACAGGAUUAGAUACCCUGGUAGUCCACGCCGUAAACGAUGGGCGCUCGUCGUCGGCGACAGACAGUCGGCGGCCAAGCGAAAGCGAUAAGCGCCCCACCUGGGGAGUACGGUCGCAAGGCUGAAACUCAAAGGAAUUGGCGGG